Molecule: ribosomal RNA, 427 nt
Filed under: uncultured bacterium
Lineage: Bacteria
Description: bacterial SSU rRNA
Rfam family: Bacterial small subunit ribosomal RNA
Source: RNAcentral
UGGGGAAUUUUGGACAAUGGGCGCAAGCCUGAUCCAGCCAUGCCGCGUGCAGGAUGAAGGCCUUCGGGUUGUAAACUGCUUUUGUACGGAACGAAAAGACUCUGGUUAAUACCUGGGGUCCAUGACGGUACCGUAAGAAUAAGCACCGGCUAACUCUGUGCCAGCAGCCGCGGUAAUACAGAGGGUGCAAGCGUUAAUCGGAAUUACUGGGCGUAAAGCGCGCGUAGGUGGUUUGUUAAGUUGAAUGUGAAAUCCCCGGGCUCAACCUGGGAACUGCAUCCAAAACUGGCAAGCUAGAGUACGGUAGAGGGGGAUGGAAUUCCGCGUGUAGCAGUGAAAUGCGUAGAUAUGCGGAGGAACACCGAUGGCGAAGGCAAUCCCCUGGGCCUGUACUGACGCUCAUGCACGAAAGCGUGGGGAGCAAACA